Long non-coding RNA from Prionailurus viverrinus (fishing cat), 618 nucleotides. RefSeq lists it as uncharacterized. The record is from RefSeq and is a predicted model, not a curated record. The transcript is spliced from 5 exons. NCBI's taxonomy places the organism in Eukaryota, Metazoa, Chordata, Mammalia, Carnivora, Felidae.
GAGCAAAUACUCUAUGAGGAAAAGGAGCCUUAGGUCUGACAAGAGGAAAAGAAGUCGGAAAUUAAAGGAAGGCUCGCAUGGAGAUAAUCUCAGGGUGCACUCUCUAUGAGAAAAGCAGUGAAAGGCUUUUCGAGAAUCAAGAAAAGCCAAUAGACCCAGUUGCUGAAGAAUUGGAAGGACUAAAAAUCUGUUUUUCAAAAAAAGUUACCAUUGUGGAAAAUGUCUACAGAGGCAGCUGUUCUAUCCACAGAAAGGAACGUCAAAAGUUGCACAGAAUUUCCACUACUUCUGAAAACUUCUAGUAUUGUUUGUCAAAUCAGAGAAUAUUCUUUCAUGGCAACUAUUAGCUGGAGCUGGACACUGCUACUCCUUAAGAGGCAACCUGUUCCACCCAGAAAAGAAGUUACUUAUGAAUGAAAGUCUUACCCUUGUUAGGAAAGAGGAGGAUCAUUUGAAUCAAUAAAGGAAGGCAUUAUCAGAAAGGCAUUCAGGAAGCAGAAUCCCAUGCCUCAGAUGUCAUCAAUGCUGGCAACAUAAUUUUGUUAAAUAAUUUUAAUGGAAGAGAGUCUUUGUGGAUUUUCUUUGAAAUGAACCAUUUGGAGGGCAUCUUGUGAAUAA